This 496-nucleotide ribosomal RNA is filed under the name uncultured bacterium. RNAcentral's name for it is "partial 16S ribosomal RNA". It matches the Rfam family "Bacterial small subunit ribosomal RNA", at positions 30 to 523 of the family's 1533-position model. The record is from RNAcentral.
AUUGAACGCUGGCGGAAUGCUUUACACAUGCAAGUCGAACGGUAGAGGGGGCAACCCCUCGAGAGUGGCGAACGGGUGAGUAAUAUAUCGGAACGUGCCCAGGCGUGGGGGAUAACGUAGCGAAAGUUACGCUAAUACCGCAUACGAUCUAAGGAUGAAAGCGGGGGAUCGCAAGACCUCGCGCGAUUGGAGCGGCCGAUAUCAGAUUAGGUAGUUGGUGGGGUAAAGGCUCACCAAGCCAACGAUCUGUAGCUGGUCUGAGAGGACGACCAGCCACACUGGAACGGAGACACGGUCCAGACUCCUACGGAAGGCAGCAGUGGGGAAUUUUGGACAAUGGACGCAUGUCUGAUCCAGCCAUUCCGCGUGCAGGAUGAAGGCCCUCGGGUUGUAAACUGCUUUUGUACGGAACGAAAAGGUCUCUCUUAAUACGGGGGACUCAUGACGGUACCGUAAGAAUAAGCACCGGCUAACUACGUGCCAGCCGCCGCCGUAA